Long non-coding RNA from Perognathus longimembris pacificus (Pacific pocket mouse), 719 nucleotides. RefSeq lists it as uncharacterized. The record is from RefSeq and is a predicted model, not a curated record. Lineage: Eukaryota; Metazoa; Chordata; Mammalia; Rodentia; Heteromyidae. The transcript is spliced from 3 exons.
CUUGAAAAUGACUUGAAAUCCAGUAUUACCAAAUUAUAAAACCUUCAACUCACUUAACAGGUUAAACCUUAAAAUGAAAUCCUUAACAAAUGAGAAAAUCAAUUAAAGGAAACUUAUGACCAAAAUGUUUUUUAAAAAAUAUUAUACACCAAUCAUCUGAACAUCCUACCUAGCAAGUUGUGAUAUUUUUUUUUUUUUUGUUUUGGUAUAAGCUCCACUUUAAAGAAAAAAAAAUUCAAAGCGUUUCAAAUGAAUUCAUUAUGCCUAGAGUUACAACAGUUAUGUAACAAAAGAUCUAACAAUUCCUAUUAUCUUCUUUUAGGUUAUGAUUAAUUCCAUGUUUUGAACACAAGAUUUGGUUACGUAACAAUUCUACUCCACUAAUCCUUAAGAGCUUUUACUUUUAUACUUUUGGUAAAACUUUAUGCUCCACCAUUUGCUAUGUAAGUUUACUGUUUUUAACAAGAGUAAAAUCCAACAGGAUAAUGGGACAUACUAUAUCAGGUCUUACAAAUAUACACAAAGCUUAAUUUUAGCUUUCUAAAGUACAUCCAACCUGACUGUGGUUUUUUACAACACAACUGCUGUCAUUAUAUGUGAUAAUGUAACUUGGCAGACAAGUAGUUGGAAUGUUCAUUAUGGAACAUUAAAAACUUAAAAAGAAAAAUGCCCAGGACAUUAUCUACUUAAGAUAAUGGUUUUAUUUUUUAAAAGUUUUA